RNAcentral lists this transfer RNA (65 nucleotides) under Strongylium suspicax. RNAcentral's name for it is "tRNA-His". The record is from RNAcentral. Lineage: Eukaryota; Metazoa; Arthropoda; Insecta; Coleoptera; Tenebrionidae.
ACUUGAAUAGUUUAAUAAAAACUUUGAUUUGUGGGGUCAAUGAUGCAUUAAUAGUGUUUUAGGUA